GUUGUUGCAGUUAAAAGGCUCGUAGUUGAAUUUCGGGGUUAGUAGGUUGGUCAUGCCUCUGGUAUGUACUGGUCUCACUGAUUCCUCCUUCCUUAUGAACCGUAAUGCCAUUAAUUUGGUGUUGCGGGGAGUUUGGACUGUUACUUUGAAAAAAUUAGAGUGUUUAAAGCAAGCUAACGCUUGAAUACAUCAGCAUGGAAUAAUGAAAUAUGACGUUCGAUCUUAUUUUGUUGGUUUCUAGGAUUGACGUAAUGAUUAAUAGGGAUAGUUGGGGGCAUUAGUAUUCAAUUGUCAGAGGUGAAAUUCUUGGAUUUAUUGAAGACUAACUACUGCGAAAGCAUUUGCCAAGGAUGUUUUCAUUAAUCAAGAACGAAAGUUAGGGGAUCGAAGACGAUCAGAUACCGUCGUAGUCUUAACCAUAAACUAUGCCGACUAGGGAUCGGAUGAUGUUAAUUUUUUAAUGACUCAUUCGGCGCCUUACGGGAAAC
This 488-nucleotide ribosomal RNA is filed under the name uncultured Glomeraceae. RNAcentral's name for it is "SSU rRNA". It matches the Rfam family "Eukaryotic small subunit ribosomal RNA", at positions 609 to 1098 of the family's 1831-position model. Lineage: Eukaryota; Fungi; Glomeromycota; Glomeromycetes; Glomerales; Glomeraceae. The record is from RNAcentral.